UACGAAGGGGGCUAGCGUUGCUCGGAAUCACUGGGCGUAAAGGGUGCGUAGGCGGGUCUUUAAGUCAGGGGUGAAAUCCUGGAGCUCAACUCCAGAACUGCCUUUGAUACUGAAGAUUUUGAGUUCGGGAGAGGUGAGUGGAACUGCGAGUGUAGAGGUGAAAUUCGUAGAUAUUCGCAAGAACACCAGUGGCGAAGGCGGCUCACUGGCCCGAUACUGACGCUGAGGCACGAAAGCGUGGGGAGCAAACAGGG
RNAcentral lists this ribosomal RNA (254 nucleotides) under uncultured bacterium. RNAcentral's name for it is "partial 16S ribosomal RNA". It matches the Rfam family "Bacterial small subunit ribosomal RNA", at positions 524 to 777 of the family's 1533-position model. The record is from RNAcentral.